This 728-nucleotide long non-coding RNA is filed under the name Hordeum vulgare. Its description in RNAcentral is "long non-coding RNA (HVUL_LNC014349)". Lineage: Eukaryota; Viridiplantae; Streptophyta; Magnoliopsida; Poales; Poaceae. The record is from RNAcentral.
UGGCAGUCCUUCGACCACCCGACGGACACCGUGGUCAUGUCCCAGAACUUCGCGUCCGGCAUGAACCUCACCUCCGGCUCCUACGUCUUCGCCGUCGACCGGGCCACCGGCAACCUCACGCUCAAGUGGGCCAACGCCGGCUCCGCCACCGUCACCUACUUCAACAAGGGCUAUAACUCCACCUUCACCGCCAACAGGACGCUCAGCUCCCCAACGCUCACGAUGCAGACCAACGGCAUCGUCUCCCUCACCGACGGCACGCUCAACGCACCCGUCGUCGUCGCCUACAGCAGCAACUACGGCGAGAGCGGCGACAUGCUGCGCUUCGUGCGCCUCGACUCGGACGGCAACUUCCGCGCCUACAGCGCCGGGCGCGGCAGCGGCACGGCCACCGAGCAGUGGUCCGCGGUGGCGGACCAGUGCGAGGUGUUCGGCUACUGCGGCAACAUGGGCGUGUGCGGCUACAACGGCACGUCGCCGGUGUGCGGGUGCCCGUCGCGGAACUUCCAGCUCAACGACGCCUCCAACCCCCGAAGCGGGUGCAGGCGCAAGGUCGAGCUCCAGAACUGCCCGGGCAACUCCACCAUGCUCCAGCUCGACAACACGCAGUUCCUCACCUACACGCCGGAGAUAACCACCGAGCAGUUCUUCGUCGGCAUCACCGCGUGCCGCCUCAACUGCCUCUCCGGCAGCUCCUGCGUUGCCUCCACCGCGCUCUCCGACGGCUC